UGGUUAUGGUGAUAACUAGAUCAUAGCCUCCCAUUAAAGUGAGUGAUAAUGGGUCCAUUAUUUCUGAUUGACAUUGCAGGCAUCAUCCAUCUGAUGUUCUCUCUAAAUGAUGGAAUUAUCAUUCAUCAUAUGAUGAUUCUGAUGAACUCUCUGAUGAUGGUUGGUGUUGGUGCAAAAAUCCAUCUGCGUCGGAGAAGCUGGAGUCGAGGGAGUCGCGGUCGCCGUCGGGACCUGCAAAAGAAGUCUAAACUGGAGGUGGGGUUGCUCCGGCAAGACCCUCCGAUGCUCAAGUCAGUUCU
This 299-nucleotide long non-coding RNA is filed under the name Elaeis guineensis (African oil palm). Its description in RNAcentral is "long non-coding RNA (EGUI_LNC041651)". Lineage: Eukaryota; Viridiplantae; Streptophyta; Magnoliopsida; Arecales; Arecaceae. The record is from RNAcentral.